RNAcentral lists this ribosomal RNA (465 nucleotides) under uncultured Klebsiella sp. Its description in RNAcentral is "bacterial SSU rRNA". It matches the Rfam family "Bacterial small subunit ribosomal RNA", at positions 338 to 795 of the family's 1533-position model. Lineage: Bacteria; Pseudomonadati; Pseudomonadota; Gammaproteobacteria; Enterobacterales; Enterobacteriaceae. The record is from RNAcentral.
CCUACGGGAGGCAGCAGUGGGGAAUAUUGCACAACGGGCGCAAGCCUGAUGCAGCCAUGCCGCGUGUGUGAAGAAGGCCUUCGGGUUGUAAAGCACUUUCAGCGGGGAGGAAGGCGUUAAGGUUAAUAACCUUGGCGGUUGACGUUACCCGCAGAAGAAGCACCGGCUAACUCCGUGCCAGCAGCCGCGGUAAUACGGAGGGUGCAAGCGUUAAUCGGAAUUACUGGGCGUAAAGCGCACGCAGGCGGUCUGUCAAGUCGGAUGUGAAAUCCCCGGGCUCAACCUGGGAACUGCAUUCGAAACUGGCAGGCUAGAGUCUUGUAGAGGGGGGUAGAAUUCCAGGUGUAGCGGUGAAAUGCGUAGAGAUCUGGAGGAAUACCGGUGGCGAAGGCGGCCCCCUGGACAAAGACUGACGCUCAGGUGCGAAAGCGUGGGGAGCAAACAGGAUUAGAUACCCGGGUAGUC